GAUGAACGCUGGCGGUAUGCCUAACACAUGCAAGUCGUACGAGAGUUUUUUAACUCUAGUGGCGGACGGGUGAGUAACACGUGAGAAUUUGCCUUUAGGAGGGGGAUAACAAUUGGAAACGAAUGCUAAUACCCCAUAUGCUUUUGAGUGAAAUGGAUUUUAUCCGCCUAGAGAGAAGCUCGCGGCUGAUUAGCUUGUUGGUAAGGUAAGAGCUUACCAAGGCGACGAUCAGUAUCUGGUUUGAGAGGACGAUCAGACACACUGGAACUGAGACACGGUCCAGACUCCUACGGGAGGCAGCAGUGGGGAAUUUUCCGCAAUGGGCGAAAGCCUGACGGAGCAAUACCGCGUGAGGGAAGAAUGCCUAUGGGUUGUAAACCUCUUUUUUCAGGGAGGAAUAAAAUGACGUGUACCUGAAGAAUAAGCACCGGCUAACUACGUG
Molecule: ribosomal RNA, 442 nt
Filed under: uncultured bacterium
Lineage: Bacteria
Description: bacterial SSU rRNA
Rfam family: Bacterial small subunit ribosomal RNA
Source: RNAcentral